AACGCACAUUGCGCCCGCCAGUACUCUGGCGGGCAUGCCUGUCUGAGCGUCAUUUCAACCCUCGCGCCCGGCUUCUGUCGGGGGCGGUGUUGGGGAUCGGCCUCCCGUCUCCGGGCGGCCGUCCCCUAAAUCCAGUGGCGACCGCGCCGUAGCCUCCUCUGCGUAGUAGUGAAACACUCGCGGGCGGAGAGCGGUGUGGCCCGCCGUAAAACCCCCCAACUUCUCAAGGUUGACCUCAGAUCAGGUAGGAAUACCCGCUGAACUUAA
Molecule: unclassified non-coding RNA, 267 nt
Filed under: uncultured Hypocreales
Lineage: Eukaryota; Fungi; Ascomycota; Sordariomycetes; Hypocreales
Description: sequence contains ITS2
Rfam family: 5.8S ribosomal RNA (bases 1-52)
Source: RNAcentral